Molecule: ribosomal RNA, 494 nt
Filed under: uncultured bacterium
Lineage: Bacteria
Description: partial 16S ribosomal RNA
Rfam family: Bacterial small subunit ribosomal RNA
Source: RNAcentral
GACGAACGCUGGCGGCGUGCUUAACACAUGCAAGUCGAACGGAAAGGCCUGUCCUUCCUUGUGUUGGACGGGUACUCGAGUGGCGAACGGGUGAGUAACACGUGAGUGAUCUGCCCCCAACUUGGGUAUAAGCCUGGGAAACUGGGUCUAAUUCCCGAUAGGACUGCAGGGUGGUGCCUGUGGUGGAAAACGAUUUUCUAGUGGUUGGGGAUGAGCUCGCGGCCUAUCAGCUUGUUGGUGGGGUAAUGGCCUACCAAGGCGGCGACGGGUAGCCGGCCUGAGAGGGUGGACGGCGACAUUGGGACUGAGAUACGGCCCAGACUCCUACGGGAGGCAGCAGUGGGGAAUAUUGAACAAUGGGCGGAAGCCUGAUGCAGCGACGCCGCGUGGGGGAUGACGGCCUUCGGGUUGUAAACUCCUUUCGACCGCGAGGAAGCCGCCUGGUUGGAAGGGUGGUGACGGUAGUGGUAGAAGAAGCACCGGCUAACUACGUG